GGAAGUAAAAGUGUAACAAGGUUUCCGUAGGUGAACCUGCGGAAGGAUCAUUAAUGAGUUGUCAUGGGGUUCGAUGCUGGCAGCCAGUUUUUGGAUGCAUGUGCUUGCCCUAACAAUCAUCUUCUUCCAAACACCUGUGCACAUUUUUGAGGGAGUCUUGAGUUGGUUGCCGCUCUUGGGUGAUUUUCUCACAUUCCCUUAAAUCAUUAUACGCUAUUAACAAUGUUGAACGUGCUCUGUGCCGCAAGGCCAUUAAUAUAAUACAACUUUUAACAACGGAUCUCUUGGCUCUC
Molecule: unclassified non-coding RNA, 293 nt
Filed under: plant metagenome
Description: partial contains small subunit ribosomal RNA, internal transcribed spacer 1, and 5.8S ribosomal RNA
Rfam family: Eukaryotic small subunit ribosomal RNA (bases 1-53)
Source: RNAcentral